UCCUCGUUAGUAUAGUGGACAGUAUCUCCGCCUGUCAUCACGGAAGAACCGGGGUUCGGUUCCCCAGCCGGGGGU
This is a non-coding RNA of Ameiurus melas (black bullhead), 75 nucleotides long. The record is from the annotation of a GenBank genome assembly. NCBI's taxonomy places the organism in Eukaryota, Metazoa, Chordata, Actinopteri, Siluriformes, Ictaluridae.